GUGCCACAAAGGUUUACUGCAACUUCACAAACUGGAAUUAGUUUGUUGAUACGAUCAUGAGUAGAGUUUGAAAUUAAUCCCAUGUCCAAUGCAUAGUCGGUGUAUGCAGGGUAUUGUAUUUUGGGAUCUGUAAGCCCAUUCCCAAUGGCAAAUCCCUUUAAGUUUAUAUGUGUUCCUUCUUUACCCUUAUUUCCUUUGUGUACUCUUGCAGCAAAAGCAGGAAUGUAGUGCCCAGCAUAUGAUUCUCCGGUUAUGUAAAAAUCGUUCUUUACAAGCUCUGGAUGCUCCUCAAAGAACGCCUGAAUAAAGUCAUACAAGUCAUCGCUAACGCAUGCUUCAGUGUGACAGAGGUCACGUCUGUCAGAACUGUAACUGAAGCCAGUACCUGUAGGUUGGUCUACAUAGAUAAGGUUUGAUACCUU
RNAcentral lists this unclassified non-coding RNA (422 nucleotides) under Hevea brasiliensis (rubber tree). Lineage: Eukaryota; Viridiplantae; Streptophyta; Magnoliopsida; Malpighiales; Euphorbiaceae. The record is from RNAcentral.